RNAcentral lists this ribosomal RNA (301 nucleotides) under uncultured bacterium. RNAcentral describes it as "partial 16S ribosomal RNA". It matches the Rfam family "Bacterial small subunit ribosomal RNA", at positions 509 to 807 of the family's 1533-position model. The record is from RNAcentral.
CAGUCGCCGCGGGAAUGCGUAGGUGGCAAGCGUUGUCCGGAAUUAUUGGGCGUAAAGGGCUCGCAGGCGGUUUCUUAAGUCUGAUGUGAAAGCCCCCGGCUCAACCGGGGAGGGUCAUUGGAAACUGGGAAACUUGAGUGCAGAAGAGGAGAGUGGAAUUCCACGUGUAGCGGUGAAAUGCGUAGAGAUGUGGAGGAACACCAGUGGCGAAGGCGACUCUCUGGUCUGUAACUGACGCUGAGGAGCGAAAGCGUGGGGAGCGAACAGGAUUAGAGACCCCUGUAGUCCCUGUCUCUUAUAC